RNAcentral lists this ribosomal RNA (400 nucleotides) under uncultured bacterium. RNAcentral's name for it is "bacterial SSU rRNA". It matches the Rfam family "Bacterial small subunit ribosomal RNA", at positions 355 to 747 of the family's 1533-position model. The record is from RNAcentral.
UGGGGAAUCUUCCGCAAUGGGCGAAAGCCUGACGGAGCAACGCCGCGUGAACGAAGAAGGUCUUCGGAUCGUAAAGUUCUGUUGUUAAGGGCGAAGGAUGCUUAUUAUAAUACAGUAAGUAUUUGACGGUACUUAACGAGGAAGCCACGGCUAACUACGUGCCAGCAGCCGCGGUAAUACGUAGGUGGCAAGCGUUGUCCGGAAUUAUUGGGCGUAAAGGGAGCGCAGGCGGGAAAUUAAGCGGAUCUUAAAAGUGCGGGGCUCAACCUCGUGAUGGGGUCCGAACUGAUUUUCUUGAGUGCAGGAGAGGAAAGCGGAAUUCCCAGUGUAGCGGUGAAAUGCGUAGAUAUUGGGAAGAACACCAGUGGCGAAGGCGGCUUUCUGGACUGUAACUGACGCU